AUACGGAGGAUGCAAGCGUUAUCCGGAUUUAUUGGGUUUAAAGGGUGCGUAGGCGGUUUGCUAAGCGGGAGGUGAAAUGCCGGCGCUCAACGUCGGAAGUGCCUCCCGAACUGGUGGACUGGAAUGACUCUGCCGUGGGAGGAAUGUGUAGUGUAGCGGUGAAAUGCUUAGAGAUUACACAGAACACCGAUUGCGAAGGCAUCUCACGAAGGGUUGAUUGACGCUGAGGCACGAAAGCGUGGGGAUCAAACAGGAUUAGAUACCCUGGUAGUCCACGCAGUAAACGAUGAUGGCUAACCGCUGGUUUAUUCGGAUCAGUGGCCAAGCGAAAGCGAUAAGCGCCCCACCUGGGGAGUACGGUCGCAAGGCUGAAACUCAAAUGAAUUGGCGGGG
This 393-nucleotide ribosomal RNA is filed under the name uncultured bacterium. RNAcentral describes it as "partial 16S ribosomal RNA". It matches the Rfam family "Bacterial small subunit ribosomal RNA", at positions 523 to 918 of the family's 1533-position model. The record is from RNAcentral.